RNAcentral lists this unclassified non-coding RNA (409 nucleotides) under Boswellia hildebrandtii. RNAcentral describes it as "partial external transcribed spacer". The record is from RNAcentral. Lineage: Eukaryota; Viridiplantae; Streptophyta; Magnoliopsida; Sapindales; Burseraceae.
CUUACGACGCCGACGCCCGCACGAGCGCCUCGAGCCGCCAGGCUGAGGGCUCGAAUACAAGCGUGGCGGUCGUUCAUGUCGUUGGACAAAAYGCGUUGCUUGGGCAAAAAGGAGGCCAAGAGACCACCCACCCGCGCAUAACAUUCCGCAUCCGAGAGCACGGGCAAAGCACCUCGUGGGCCAAGGCAACCACGCAACUGGGCGAGGCGUGCCAGGAGCACGAGGCUUGCCUAACGUCCACCCCAACACCUGCGAGGGCAUGGGGCGGAGAGGAACAAACGAACUACCGAAUUCCUUCAGGUAGGUAAGCAACACAGGAUACCGUACGCACCCCCAAGGCGGCAACGACGCAUUGGGGAACAAUGAAGAGGAUGGGGCGUCAACAGUUCGAUGCACGAGCACGGAGCCU